AUGUGGAGAUAUCAAUGGCAAUCAAUUUCAAAUACACAACACUGGCAUUUAUUUCUAAAGCUAGAGGCCUGAACUAAACACUCAGGAUAACAAAGUUACUUCUCUUCUUGCUUUUCUUUACUCACACAAACUGGCAAACUGAAUAUAACACAUACAAGACAAGGACCACAUUUUAUUAUCAAUGUAAAAUAUUUCUUCAAAGAUUUCUACAAAGAGUAUACAGAACAGAACAGUUGUCAUGGAUGUGCAUAAAUACAAAUAGGUGGAGCUCGAGGUGGAGAUGUACAUCAAAUGGUAACACUGUAAUUUUAUUACACUGACAUUUAUUUCUAAAGCUAGAAGACACUCAGGAAAACAAUGUUGUUCCUCUUCAUGGUGUUUUUCACUCUUGCUGAUGUUGCACAGGCUGCUGACAAUAGCAUUAAACCAGAUCAGACCAAUGUAUUUUCAACGGAAGGCUGCAACAUCUCACUGUCCUGCACAUAUACUGGAUCAGUUAACAGUCUCCACUGGUAUCGACACAAACUUGGAUCAAGACCUGACUUUCUGCUGCUCAUUGCUGAAAGCAGUAAACAUGUCACACCAGCUCAACCGCCUCAUCCACGAUUGUCUAUAAAACUUAAAAAUGAUCGAGAUAAAAAGAGUAAGACAGUGGAUCUGAUCAUCUCCUCUGCUGCUGUGACAGACUCUGCUCUAUACUACUGUGCUCUGCAGCAUACAGUGACAGGAAAUCCAGCUGCACUGUACAAAAACUAACACAGUUUCGUUAUAUUGAA
Tachysurus fulvidraco (yellow catfish) is the source of this 776-nucleotide non-coding RNA. NCBI's taxonomy places the organism in Eukaryota, Metazoa, Chordata, Actinopteri, Siluriformes, Bagridae. The record is from the annotation of a RefSeq genome assembly.